AUCCGGGUUGCGGACAGUGUCUGGUGGGUAGUUUGACUGGGGCGGUCUCCUCCUAAAGAGUAACGGAGGAGCACGAAGGUUGGCUAAUCCUGGUCGGACAUCAGGAGGUUAGUGCAAUGGCAUAAGCCAGCUUGACUGCGAGCGUGACGGCGCGAGCAGGUGCGAAAGCAGGUCAUAGUGAUCCGGUGGUUCUGAAUGGAAGGGCCAUCGCUCAACGGAUAAAAGGUACUCCGGGGAUAACAGGCUGAUACCGCCCAAGAGUUCAUAUCGACGGCGGUGUUUGGCACCUCGAUGUCGGCUCAUCACAUCCUGGGGCUGAAGUAGGUCCCAAGGGUAUGGCUGUUCGCCAUUUAAAGUGGUACGCGAGCUGGGUUUAGAACGUCGUGAGACAGUUCGGUCCCUAUCUGCCGUGGGCGCUGGAGAACUGAGGGGGGCUGCUCCUAGUACGAGAGGACCGGAGUGGACGCAUCACUGGUGUUCGGGUUGUCAUGCCAAUGGCACUGCCCGGUAGCUAAAUGCGGAAGAGAUAAGUGCUGAAAGCAUCUAAGCACGAAACUUGCCCCGAGAUGAGUUCUCCCUGAGACUUA
This 587-nucleotide ribosomal RNA is filed under the name Salmonella enterica subsp. enterica serovar Infantis. RNAcentral describes it as "partial 23S ribosomal RNA". It matches the Rfam family "Bacterial large subunit ribosomal RNA", at positions 2238 to 2824 of the family's 2925-position model. The record is from RNAcentral. Lineage: Bacteria; Pseudomonadati; Pseudomonadota; Gammaproteobacteria; Enterobacterales; Enterobacteriaceae. RNAcentral also lists the same sequence under 7 other names.